UAGUAAUGGCAGGUCAGCAUACUGCCGUGAAUACGUUCCCGGGCCUUGUACACACCGCCCGUCACACCAUGAGAGUUGGGGAUACCCAAAACCCGUGAGCCAACUGUAAAGAGGCAGCGGUCUAAGGUAGAAUCAAUGAUUGGGGUGAAGUCGUAACAAGGUACC
RNAcentral lists this ribosomal RNA (165 nucleotides) under uncultured bacterium. Its description in RNAcentral is "partial 16S ribosomal RNA". It matches the Rfam family "Bacterial small subunit ribosomal RNA", at positions 1336 to 1500 of the family's 1533-position model. The record is from RNAcentral.